CAGCGUUCAGUCGGCAGGAGCGGGUGCCCCGACGUUCGGGUUCCCGGGGGGCUGAGCGGGACGCCCCACUUUGAGACCUGCUGGUCGGAUGGGUUCUAGGAUGAAGCAGCGGGACGGGGAAAUAAAGCAAAGGCAGACUCAGGAGAGCGGCGAUUUGGCCAUAAUCCAGGCCUGAGUGGAAAACCUGGGGAGUUUUAAAAAGGAUUUAUUGGGGAGAAAUCCUUCAAGACCAAGUGCAGCAAGUCCACAAAAACCCAAAUCAAGUCUACGCUUUGUGCUGAUCAGCAGGGAGAAGAAAGAAAUGGGUCCUGUGGAAAGUGGUGCCUCCACAGACAGCGGCCACACCAGGGUGGUGGUAGCAGGGAUGGACGGAGCUGGCCCCGGCUUGCUCCCACACAGGGCUCUCAGCCAUUUCACUCGGCGUCUGUGGAGACAGCAAGGAUCGCUUAAAGACUUGGUGCCAAUGGCAUGUUUCAGCACUUCUGAAGACACGAGGUAAUUGCAGGAAAUGCCGGGCCAUCACCUUUUAAGAAAGAGAGCGUCUGCAUGCUGAUUGGCACAUUCUUCUGUCCAUUCACUUGGAAAUGAGACUCUCGGUCUGCUCACACUUAGAGUAAGUGGUCAUAUCCAUCCUGCCCAAUGCUAAAUAAGCCCCACAAAAGUGCAAAUAAAGACAAAUUAUUUAGCCGUAAAAUAGACGCGUGUCAAGCUGACGUCCCCUGCAGUGAGGGACCCCUUGGGCGCCCUGUAGAAACAGACCCGUGCCCCCUCAUCUUCC
This 778-nucleotide long non-coding RNA is filed under the name Equus asinus (donkey). RNAcentral describes it as "lncRNA (ENSEASG00005035418.1)". The record is from RNAcentral. Lineage: Eukaryota; Metazoa; Chordata; Mammalia; Perissodactyla; Equidae.